CGAAAGUGCUGGUAAUACCUGAUAACAUCCAGAAAUCGCAUGGUUUUUGGAUCAAAGAUUUAUCGGUUCAGGAGCGGCCCAUGUCCUAUCAGCUUGUUGGUGGGGUGAUGGCCUACCAAGGCGACGACGGGUAGCCGGCGUGAGAGCGUGGCCGGCCACAUCGGGACUGAGACACUGCCCGGACACCUACGGGUGGCUGCAGCAACGAAUAUUCCGCAAUGGGGGAAACCCUGACGGAGCGACGCCGCGUGGAGGAUGAAGUCCCUCGGGAUGUAAACUCUAAUAGUAUGUCAGGAAGAACUGACCAGCAUACGAAAGGGGUGGCUAACUCCGUGCCAGCAGCCGCGGUAACACGGAGACCCCAAGCGUUGUUCGGAAUUACUGGGCUUAAAGAGCGUGUAGGCGGAACGGUAAGUACCUUGUGAAAGCCCUGGGCUCAACCCAGGAAUUGCUUGGUAUACUGUCGUUCUUGAGGCAGGCAGGGGUCACUGGAACCUUAGGUGGAGCGGUGAAAUGCGUAGAUAUCUAAGGGAACGCCUGUGGCGAAAGCGGGUGACUGGGCCUGUCCUGACGCUGAGACGCGAAAGCGUAGGGAGCGAACGGGAUUAGAUACCCCGGUAGUCUACGCCGUAAACGAUGCGCACUAGGCUCGAGGAUACUGACAUUUUCGAGCCGAAACAAAAGCGUUAAGUGCGCCGCCUGGGGAGUACGGCCGCAAGGCUAAAACUCAAAGGAAUUGACGGGGGCUCACACAAGCGGUGGAGCAUGUGGAUUAAUUCGAAGCAACGCGAAGAACCUUACCUGGGUUUGACAUGCACGGAUGCCCUUUCCGAAAGGAGAGUAAGCUGCCUUCGGGUGAAACGUGCACAGGUGCUGCAUGGCUGUCGUCAGCUCGUGCUGUGAAGUGUCGGGUUAAGUCCCUUAACGAGCGAAACCCUUGUCGCUAGUUGCCAGCGGGUCAUGCCGGGAACUCUAGCGAGACUGCCGGCGUUAAGCCGGAGGAAGGUGGGGAUGACGUCAAGUCAUCAUGGCCUUUAUGCCCAGGGUGUCACACGUGCUACAAUGGGACGUACAGAGCGACGCGAGACCGUGAGGUGGAGCAAAUCGCAGAAAGCGUCCCUCUGUUCGGAUUGGGGUCUGCAAUUCGACCCCAUGAAGUUGGAAUCGCUAGUAAUCGCGCAUCAGCCAUGGCGCGGUGAAUAUGUUCCUGAGCAUUGUACACACCGCCCGUCAAGUCAUGGGAUCGGGA
This 1249-nucleotide ribosomal RNA is filed under the name uncultured organism. RNAcentral's name for it is "bacterial SSU rRNA". It matches the Rfam family "Bacterial small subunit ribosomal RNA", at positions 152 to 1415 of the family's 1533-position model. The record is from RNAcentral.